AACAGUACGGGUCAGUAGAAAAUACAGUAGCAAUAAUAAUGAAUGAAAGAGACAUGUAUAUGAAAGAAAGUACAACUACCGCUACUGUAAUGAACAACUGAAUGUAUACAUGUAACAAGACUAUAGUAGCAAGACAAUGUAACGAAAGAACUGAAGAUAUACAAGCGACAACUGCUACUAUAGUUAUAUGCGUCAACCAGACGAUAAGUCCAAAUAUACCCAAUCUGAUGCAGCUAUAUUGGUCUGCAGACCUCAAGCGUUGCCUGUCACAGAGCAGACACUGAGAGCUUAUUCAUGCGUCACCGACGACCUAUCCGGAUACGUACACCUCUUGUUGGUGGCCAAACCAACCUGGUGUCUAGAAUACACAGUGCUGUGACUAAAUCAUGCUGAUAUGCUCAAACGAAAUCCGGCUAAAGCCGGUGCCUAGGCCGAAGCCAGAAACAAGGGCGUACAACGCCAAACCACGAUCAACCAGAUCGAAACACAUGACAAGAGAGUCGAUGUGUUGCCUGGACCCAAGGUCCACAGAGUCCAACUGACCAACAAGGUCCCUGAUACGAAGUACGAGAACCGACCAACCAGGUCAACAGAUACGGAAUGCAACAACCAACCAACUAGAUCAACAGAUACGGAAUGCAACAACCGACCAACUAGGUCAACAGAUACGGAAUGCAACAACCGACCAACUAGGUCAACAGAUACGGAAUGCAACUACAGACCAACUAGGUCAACAGAUACGCAUGUAGAUAGAACUACUCUACUCCUACUCAGGAUACUAAGCAUGCAAACAACGAGUAGAGUAUAACGAAUAAACAAGGGUGCAAGGCUCAAUAUACUAUGCGAUAGUAACAACAGAAGAGUAAGGGUAAGAAACCAUCACCAAGCGUGCACCACUGUACCGACGUCGGAUCGAAGUACCCACCUGUAAGGAUG
RNAcentral lists this long non-coding RNA (936 nucleotides) under Ananas comosus (pineapple). RNAcentral describes it as "long non-coding RNA (ACOM_LNC009780)". The record is from RNAcentral. Lineage: Eukaryota; Viridiplantae; Streptophyta; Magnoliopsida; Poales; Bromeliaceae.